CGUCAAAUCAUCAUGCCCCUUAUGAUUUGGGCUACACACGUGCUACAAUGGCAGGAACAAAGUGAAGCGACCCCGCGAGGGCAAGCGAACCACAAAAAACCUGCCUCAGUUCGGAUUGCAGUCUGCAACUCGACUGCAUGAAGCUGGAAUCGCUAGUAAUCGCAAAUCAGAAUGUUGCGGUGAAUACGUUCCCGGGUCUU
This 200-nucleotide ribosomal RNA is filed under the name uncultured prokaryote. RNAcentral's name for it is "partial 16S ribosomal RNA". It matches the Rfam family "Bacterial small subunit ribosomal RNA", at positions 1183 to 1382 of the family's 1533-position model. The record is from RNAcentral.